UAGGCAAACAAACAUAGCGAUUGAUAA
Molecule: small RNA, 27 nt
Filed under: Bombyx mori (domestic silkworm)
Lineage: Eukaryota; Metazoa; Arthropoda; Insecta; Lepidoptera; Bombycidae
Description: ovarian small RNA-22693
Source: RNAcentral